UCUGGAAUUGUUUGGUCUGCCA
This 22-nucleotide non-coding RNA is filed under the name Arabidopsis thaliana (thale cress). Lineage: Eukaryota; Viridiplantae; Streptophyta; Magnoliopsida; Brassicales; Brassicaceae. The record is from RNAcentral.